CGGGGGCGCGCCCGGCCGGCGGGGCCGCGCACGCAGCCGCCGCCACCACUUCCCCCUCUCCAUCCCUCCUUGCGGGCCCUCCUCCCCUUCCCUCCCCUCCGCCCCCUUCCCCGUAGGCAGCCCGCCCGCCAGUCCGCCCGCACCGCCUCCUUCCCAGCCCCUAGCGCUCCGGCUGGGUCUCUCCCCCGCCCCCCAGGCUCCCCCGGUCGCUCUCCUCCGGCGGUCGCCCGCGCUCGGUGGAUGUGGCUGGCAGCUGCCGCCCCCUCCCUCGCUCGCCGCCUGCUCUUCCUCGGCCCUUCGCCUCUUCCCCUCCUCCUUCUCGUCUUCAGCCGCUCCUCUCGCCGCCGCCGCCGCCUCCACAGCCUGGGCCUCGCCGCGAUGCCGGAGAAGAGGCCCUUCGAGCGGCUGCCUGCCGAUGUCUCCCCCAUCAACUGCAGCCUUUGCCUCAAGCCCGACUUGCUGGACUUCACCUUCGAGGGCAAGCUGGAGGCCGCCGCCCAGGUGAGGCAGGCGACUAAUCAGAUUGUGAUGAAUUGUGCUGAUAUUGAUAUUAUUACAGCUUCAUAUGCACCAGAAGGAGAUGAAGAAAUACAUGCUACAGGAUUUAACUAUCAGAAUGAAGAUGAAAAAGUCACCUUGUCUUUCCCUAGUACUCUGCAAACAGGUAUGGGAACCUUAAAGAUAGAUUUUGUUGGAGAGCUGAAUGACAAAAUGAAAGGUUUCUAUAGAAGUAAGUAUACUACCCCUUCUGGAGAAGUGCGCUAUGCUGCUGUAACACAGUUUGAGGCUACUGAUGCCCGAAGGGCUUUUCCUUGCUGGGAUGAGCCUGCUAUCAAAGCAACUUUUGAUAUCUCAUUGAUUGUUCCUAAAGACAGAGUAGCUUUAUCAAACAUGAAUGUAAUUGACCGGAAACCAUACCCUGAUGAUGAAAAUUUAGUGGAAGUGAAGUUUGCCCGCACACCUGUUACGUCUACAUAUCUGGUGGCAUUUGUUGUGGGUGAAUAUGACUUUGUAGAAACAAGGUCAAAAGAUGGUGUGUGUGUCCGUGUUUACACUCCUGUUGGCAAAGCAGAGCAAGGAAAAUUUGCGUUAGAGGUUGCUGCUAAAACCUUGCCUUUUUAUAAGGACUACUUCAAUGUUCCUUAUCCUCUACCUAAAAUUGAUCUCAUUGCUAUUGCAGACUUUGCAGCUGGGAGACUGCAUUGCUUAUUGAUGCAAAAAAUUCCUGUUCUUCAUCCCGCCAGUGGGUUGCUCUGGUUGUGGGACAUGAACUCGCCCAUCAAUAGUUUGGAAAUCUUGUUACUAUGGAAUGGUGGACUCAUCUUUGGUUAAAUGAAGGUUUUGCAUCCUGGAUUGAAUAUCUGUGUGUAGACCACUGCUUCCCAGAGUAUGAUAUUUGGACUCAGUUUGUUUCUGCUGAUUACACCCGUGCCCAGGAGCUUGACGCCUUAGAUAACAGCCAUCCUAUUGAAGUCAGUGUGGGCCAUCCAUCUGAGGUUGAUGAGAUAUUUGAUGCUAUAUCAUAUAGCAAAGGUGCAUCUGUCAUCCGAAUGCUGCAUGACUACAUUGGGGAUAAGGACUUUAAGAAAGGAAUGAACAUGUAUUUAACCAAGUUCCAACAAAAGAAUGCUGCCACAGGAUGGACGUGGUAGAGGUCGCGGGUAGUUGGUGGGCACAAGAGCGAGAGGACAUCAUUAUGAAAUACGAAAAGGACACCGAGCUGGGCUGCCAGAGGACAAGGGGCCUAAGCCUUUUGGAAGAUACAACAACAAUGUCGAUCAUUUGGGGAUUGUACGUUCAGUCGUGCUCAGUACCUUCUACCUUCACGCUGUGUGCAACCCAUCUCCAGAAGCCUCUUCAUCCUGCAAAAUUGAAACUGGACCCAUUAAACAACACCUCCCCAUUCCACCUCCCCAUUCCUCCUCCCCCGGCCCCUGGCAACUGCCAUUCUGCUUCUUUCUCCACAUAUGGAAUAUAUUCUAUAUACCUAGUUUUACAUUAAUAUCAUAGAUAGCUUUGUUUUCAGUAUGUAUAUCUACUUUAUUCUUUUCAGUAAUUUCCUGUUUAUUAUGUGGCUAUACCAUCAUGGUUUAAACUAUUCAUAUAUAUAUUUUUUAAUUUAUUUAUUUUUAUUGAUCAUUCUUGGGUGUUUCUCACAGAGGGGGAUUUGGCAGGGUCAUAGGACAACAGUGGAGGGAGGGUCAGCAGAUAAACAAGUGAACAAAGGUCUCUGGCUUUCCUAUGCAGAGGACCCUGCGGCCCUCCGCAGUGCCCGUGUCCCUGGGUACUUGAGAUUAGGGAGUGGUGAUGACUCUUAACGAGCAUGCUGCCUUCAAGCAUCUGUUUAACAAAGCACAUCUUGCACCACCCUUAAUCCAUUUAACCCUGAGUGGACACAGCACAUGUUUCAGAGAGCACAGAGUUGGGGGUAAGGUCACCGAUCAACAGGAUCACAAGGCAGAAGAAUUUUUCCCAGUACAGAACAAAAUGAAGAGUCUCCCGUGUCUACCUCCCUCUACACAGACAUGGAAACCAUCCGAUCUCUCAAUCCCUUCCCCGCCUUUCCCCCGCUUCUAUUCCACAAAACCGCCAUUGUCAUCAUGGCCCAUUCCCAAUGAGCUGCCGGGUACACCUCCCAGACGGGGCGGUGGCCGGGCAGAGGGGCUCCUCACUUCCCAGCAGGGGCGGCCGGGCAGAGGCGCCCCUCAUCUCCCGGACCGGGCGGCUGGCCGGGCGGGGGGCUGACCCCCCCACCUCCCUCCCAGACGGGGUGGCUGGCCAGGCAGAGGGGCUCUUCACUUCCCAGUAGGGGCGGCCGGGCAGAGGCGCCCCUCACCUCCCAGAUGGGGCGGCUGGCCGGGCGGGGGGCUGACCCCCCCACCUCCCUCCCGGUCGGGGCGGUUGGCCUGGCGGGGGGCUGACGCCCCCACCUCCCUCCCGGACGGGGCGGCUGGCCGGGCAGAGGGGCUCCUCACUUCCCAGCAGGGGCGGCCGGGCAGAGGCGCCCCUCACCUCCCGGACGGGGCGGCUGGCCGGGCAGGGGGCUGACCCCCCCACCUCCCUCCCAGAUGGGGCGGCUGGCCGGGCAGAGGGGCUCCUCACUUCCCAGUAGGGGCAGCCGGGCAGAGGCGCCCCUCACCUCCCGGACGGGGUGGCUGGCCGGGCGGGGGGCUGACCCCCCCACCUCCCUCCCGGACGGGGCGACUGGCCGGGCGGGGGGCUGACUCCCCCGCCUCCCUCCCGGAUGGGGCGGCUGGCCAGGCGGGGGGCUGACCCCCCCACCUCCCUCCUGGACGGGGUGGCUGGCCGGGCGGGGGGCUGACCCCCCCCACCUCCUUCCCAGACGGGGCGGCUGGCUGGGCAGAGGGGCUCCUCACUUCCCAGUAGGGGCGGCCAGGCAGAGGCGCCCCUCACCUCCCAGACGGGGUGGCUGGCCGGGCAGGGGGCUGACCCCCCCCCCACCUCCCUCCCGGACGGGGUGGCUGGCCAGGCGGGGGGCUGACCCCCCCACCUCCCUCCCGGACGGGGCGGCUGGCCGGGCGGGGGGCUGACCCCCCCCACCUCCCUCCCAGACGGGGCGGCUGGCCUGGUGGGGGCUGACCCCCACCUCCCUCCUGGAUGGGGUGGCUGCCGGGCAGAGACGCUCCUCACUUCCCAGACGGGGUGGCUGCCGGACGGAGGGGCUCCUCACUUCUCAUAUGGGGUGGUUCCCAGGCGGAGGGUCUCCUCACUUCUCAGAUGGGGCGGCUGGGCAGAGACGCUCCUCACCUCCCAGACGGGGUCGCGGCCGGGUAGAGGCGCUCCUCACUUCCCAGACGGGGUGGGGGGGCAGAGGCGCUCCCCACAUCUCAGACGAUGGGCGGCUGGGCAGAGACGCUCCUCACUUCCUAGAUGGGAUGGUGGCCGGGAAGAGGCGCUCCUCACUUCCUAGAUGGCAUGGCGGCCGGGCAGAGACGCUCCUCACUUUCCAGACUGGGUAGCCAGGCAGAGGGGCUCCUCACGUCCCAGGUGAUGGGCGGCCAGGCAGAGACGCUCCUCACUUCCCGGACGGGGUGGCGGCCAGGCAGAGGCUGCAAUCUCGGCACUUUGGGAGGCCAAGGCAGGCGGCAUGCUUCGCCGGGUGGUCAGAGCUAUUCGCCCAUAGUCCGUAGCCCAGAGCCGGGGCUGCUUGGCUCUCUGUCCCGGGGGGCCGGGGCCGGGCUGGAGGCGUGCGAGCCUCUCAUCGCCGCCUCCCAGCGCAGCCGCUUGACUCUUUUUUUAUUUUUAUUUUUUUAGACAGUCUCACUCUGUCACUCAGGCUGGAGUGCAGUGGCAUGAUCUUGCCUCACCACAACCUCCGCUUCCCAGGUUCAAGCAAUUCUCCUGCCACAGCCUCUGAGUAGCUGGGACUACACAUGUGCGCCACCACACCUGGCUAAUUUUUGUAUUUUUAGUAAAGAUGGGGUUUCCCCAUGUUGGCCAGGCUGGUCUUGAGCUCCCAAUCUCAAGUGAUCUGUCCACACCCACUAUUCAUAUUUUAAAGAGUUGAUUUAUAUUGGUUGUUUUUACAAACAGAGCUGCAAACAACAGCGGUGUGCCAACAAUUUUUGUGUGUGUGUGUGGGGUUUUUGUUUUUGUUUUGAGACAGAGUCUCACUCUGUCGCCCAGGCUGGAGUGCAGUGGCAAGAUCUCGGCUCACUGCAACCUCUGCCUCCCAGGUUCAAGCAAUUCUCUUGCCUCAGCCUCCCAGGUAGCUGGGAUUAUAGGCGCCUGCCACCAUGCCCGGCUAAUUUUUGUAUUUUAGUAGAGAUGAGGUUUUCCCGUGUUGGCCAGGCUGGUCUCGAACUCCUGACCUCAAGCUAUCCACCUGCCUUGGCCUCCCAAAGUGCAGGGAUUACAGGGGUGAGCCACCGUGCUUGGCCCUCCUUUGUUUCCUUAGAUAGUGUUUCUUGAAAUAGAUUCCUAGAAAUAAGAUAGACUGAAGAGUAUGUAAAUUUUAAAUUUUUUUACAGACUGUGUCAUUGCUUUUUAAAAAUGCUGAUUACCAAAAUGUCACUUUUUGAUACUAAAAAAUAGAUUGUUUUAAACACACAAAGUAAGUAGGGCUUAUCAAAAAGUUAAUAUAUUUUGCAUUUCUCACAAGUGUGUUGAAAUUUCUCCCCCUUGCAUUGUACAGCAGGAAUCCUGACUCAGUCUAACUUUCUUAUACUUAAAAAAGUAUAUACUAAAACAUAGGCCAGGAGUUAGCAAACGUUUUCUAUAAAAGACCAGAUAGUAAAUAUUGUUCUUUGUGGGCUAUAUAAUCUCUGUUGCAACAAUGUGACUCCACCUUUGUCUUGGAAAGCUGGGAUAGAUAAUAUGUAAAAGAGUGGGAGUGGCUGUGUUUCAACAAAACUUUGUUUACAAAACAGGGGUCAUACUAGAUUUGUUCUGAGGACCAUAGUUUCUUAACCUCAGUCUAGGCAAUCCAUCAAGUAAUUCUGCAUUCACAAUAGAAGUCUUAUUGUAUAUAUUGGCUGACUGUCUUUCCUUUCUCUAAUGUUAACCACUGAUUUUGUGGAGCAUGGAUUCUAGGGAAAUAAUACCCAGGUAAGAUGUCUAUUACCAUGUGUGUCUUAUUUUUAAAAGAGUGGUUAAAUUCUUAUUGAGGCCGGGUGCAGUGGCUUAUGCCUGUAAUCCCAGCACUUUGAGAGGUCGAGGCAGGCAGCUCUCUCAAGUUCAGGAGUUCAAGACCAGCCUGGCCAACAUGGUGAAGCCCCGUCUCUACUAAAAAUACAAAAAUUAGCUGGGUGUGGUGGCAUGCACCUGUAAUCCCAGCUACUUGGGAGGCUGAGGCAGGAAGAUCACUGGAACCCGGGAGGCAGAAGUUACAGUGAGCCGGCAUGGCACCACUACACUCCAGCCUGGGCAACAGAGCAAGACUCCAUCUCAAAACAAGUCAAAACAAAACAAAACAAACACACAAACAAAAAACUGGGAGACCGAGGUGGUCAGAUCACAAAGUCAGAAGAGUGAGACCAGCCUGGCCAAUAUGGUGAAAACCCGUCUCUACUAAAAAUACAAAAAUUAGCGGGGUGUGGUGGCAGGCACCUGUUCUCCCAGCUACUUGGGAGGCUGAGGCAGAAGAAUUGCUUGAACCUGGGAGGCAGAGGUUGCAGUGAGCCAAGAUUAUGCCACUGCACUCCAGCCUGGGCGACAGAGCAAGACUCAGUCUCAAAAAAAAAAAAAAAAAAAAAAAAGUCUUAUUGACAAGUUCAGUAGUUUCUUGUCUUUAGUCUGCAUGUGUAUCACUUGGGGGUUUGGUAAAAAUCUAGAUUCCCGCAUCCAAACCCAGUUCUCUUGUGAGCAUUUUAAAUGACCAUCCCAGGUGGUUCUGGAAUGCUCAUAGGAUUGCAUAUUAGUUACACUAUUUAUUCGCUGCAUGGCCAUGGACAAGUUGUUUUAACUCUCUGAGCCAACAUUUCCUCUUCUAUUAAAUGGGAAUAUUAAUAAUACUUAGCCCUUGGAGACACUGUUAGAAUUUGAAGCACAAUGAAUAAUUUUUAAGAGAGCUUGACUCAUGAGAAAAAUAAGCUUAAAUGCAUGAAUAUAUAUAUCAAGCAUGAAUUUACCUAGUGCAUAUGCAUUAUACACUGGGUGCAUAAUAUUUUAUAAAAUAAUCCUUGUUUUAUAAAAUAGAGUUUCAUUAUUUGGGGAGAGGCAUUACUGUCAUUUCCUUUCUGCUGACUUCCCCUCUUCAGAGUUUUCUGCUCUUCCCCUCCCAUCCCACCACCUUGCUUUGUCACAAAACAAAGCCAAUAGGAUCACCAACAGUUUAAGACUGGUUUACUCAAAACGAAUUCAUUGUUUUACGUAGCUGAACACAGAAAUGAUAAAUAAUGUUCUGUAAGUAUUUGUUGGUUGACAGCUUUGGCACAAUGUCCUCUAGAAAAAGCUGAACGUAGCCACCCACCUUGUACGAGAGCCGCAAAGAAUAGCCACGUGCCUGAAUAUGUGUCAGCCGCUGUGUGACUGGAGGGGCUGAGGAAGGGGCGUAGAGGGUGUUGUGAGGUCCCUUCCGACAAGCAGUCAAGAACGCAUAGAAAUACAUUACAAAAAUUAAAUAGUCUAGAUAAGUUGAAAUGCAUGUUAAGAAGAGCCCCAGAGUGUGGUUGCUUGGGUAGGGGUAGGUUCAGGAAUUGAAGGGACGUCCCUAGGGCCUGGGUCCCUGCUUCCUAAUCUGCCACAAACCUAACAGUGUCUUGUUGCUUCCAGGUCACUCAGGGAUUCGACUCUGAGGUCAAUGAUGCACUUGGCACCAGAACUUGAUGGGGUUGGCACAGACCUGCCAGCCUCAGCCACUUUCAUUCUGGAAGCUGUUAAAAGAGACAGUUAUAAAAAUUGAGGAAUCAGCAAGAGAAUUCCUGGUUCCGUGCUGCCUUCUUCUCUCUGUCUUGGCAAGUGUAGGGCCUGUCCACUUGCUCAGGACUCUUUGUCCAACCUCAGCUCCCUAGACCUUUCAUCAGUGGCUCAGGGGAUCUCUUCAGGCAGCCUCUUCCGGCUAACACUUCCUCCUGUCUUCCCUCUGUCAGGGGCAGCUCUUCCGUCGUUCCUUGCAGACCCUAGGUCAGGCCAGAAAACACCUCUAUGGCCCUUCCCUGUGUCCCACCACCGGAUAGGACCUCAAAGGCCUGGGGUCCCCAGGAUGGCCCUCAAACCGACUGGUGCCCUUGCAGGCUGCCACCCUCCAAGUCCUGCUUCUCUCCAGAGAUGGGCAGGAGCACCAGCCCUCACCUGGCACCAGCAGUGAGUCUCAUAAUUGCCAUCUACCAUUUUGCUAGGGGGCUUCUGGGGAUCCUAGGAAAAGCAGCAGAUGCCUGGGUGCUUGGGGACCCAGGCAUUCUGAGGGAAGGAGCAGCGUGACCCUGAGUCAUUUUUCACUGGGGACAAAUGAGCCAACUCCUUCUACCCAGUGAUAAAAUCAGAAGGAAGCAGAUGGAGACAGCACUGUUCAGGGGAUGAUUUGGGGGUGAGAAGAACUGGCAGGAAGUUGGGGAUUUGGGGGUGAGAAGAACCAGCAGGAAGUUGGGGAUUUCUUGUUUCCCCACUUUUCCCUUCCAUUUCUGUUUGAGCCUUAGGUUUGGCCUCCAUCUCCCUCUGUAGAAAUUGCAGCUAAUUAAAUAUUCUGCCUCUUAUUCCAGCUUUACUGGGGGAACAUAAUAUGGUCUAAGAAGAGAUUUUUCCAGCAAGAGGCCAUCUCUGCAAAUCACCUGUGAGGCAGACCUGUGGCAAUUUUAUGACUCAGCUGGACACCGGGAUUGUAGCUGGGUUCUGCCCCUUAUUGAAACCUACUCAAUGUUCUCCUUCCCUAAGUAGGACAAGACCGUACCCUGCCUUUAAGGUUUAUAGAAUAGAAAGUGAAAACACUUUGGGGAAGAAAAUCUUCCUGAACUGAUAGCCCAGGGCAUUUUGAAAAUCCCUUAGGAAGUUCUCUGUUUCACUUGGGUACCUUUGUCCUUGGACUUUGGUGAUGUGGUUUGACCCCAGCUAGAGAGUGCAGGGAACAACAGCAAAAGGCAGGACAAAGACAGACUCGUGAGAGGAGGCCUAGGAACAGGGGGCCAUUGUGAAUGAGGAGGACGUGGGGGCCCAAGAAAGUGAGCAAAAGAGGACAGGGCUUGCGCACUCAGUCACCAGCCCCCUUCUGGGGUCCAAGCUGUGUCCCCUUCUCUAAAGAGGUAAGCCCUGAGUCAUGGGAAGAUGGAAACCGGGGCUGAUGAGACAGGAUGUUUUUUAAGCACCGUGGUAUCUUGUUGACUUGCACAUGCAAGGGGGUCUUGGGUAACCACAGGGCUCAGGGUAUUUGCAGGAACAGUUCAAGUGCUCACUUGUCUUGGGGCUGUUUAUGGGGAAGUGGUUUCCACAGUGAGAGGAGGUGAGAUAUUGUUGUCACCCUGGACCACACUUAGCUACUUCCUUCUCACUAAAGCUCUGUAGUCAUAUUUUCCCCUGGCAGAGCAGAAACUUCUAUGUUAUCCCACAGCUGUUCUAACGGUGUAGACUUGACUUAUGCAAUGAUGCCAGGAGUCCUGAGCAGCACAGCCCAACUUCAAUCACACACAGAUGGACAGAGCUGUAUUAGCAAAGCCUGAGCUACUGAGCGAUGAAGAGUACAGCCAGGCUUUCAGACAUCUGUUCAUUCAAGAGAGAUAUGCGCUAAGCAAAGGACCUAAAGAUGUGUUUAAUGUGGGUGCUAAUAUGCAUAAGGAACCUUGAAAUAAAUGUUCUUAGCCUUUGGCCAAGAGGGUCCAUGUCUAGGAAUCUAUUCUCUGUAGAAAUAAAUUCAAAUAUGGAAAAAAUGAACAAUGCAUAAGUGUAUUUGGUCCCCAGCAUAUUUAUAGCAACUUAAAAUUGGACCAAAUUUAAAUGCCUAUGAUAUGGAAAUUGCUGAGAAAAUUAUGGGCUCUUCCCUUAAUUGGCUAUUAGGCAGCCUUUACAAACAAUGCAAUGACAUGAGAAAUGCUUAUGUUAUGGUAAGCUUAAAAAACUCAAGAUGCAAAUCAGCUUAUUUUAAUCAGGAGCCACCUAGCAUUUGGGAUGUGGUCAGUCCCACAUAAUGUAUUUUUGUGGGUGCAGUUCCCAGGAAAGAGGAGGAAUAAAAACGGCAAGUAUGAAGUGUCUCCUUCACUUGCAGUCUCUUUGUCUACCCCUUUGUCCAUCCACUAUGAAAGGACUCCCUUCUGUUCCUUAAUAUGGACAAUUUCUAUUGAGGACUCAUUGUUCUAAGAAUUGUCUCAUCUCCUCCUGCAUCCUCAGUGCCCAAUCUUUGGCUUCUAUGAAGGAAGGUGGGUAGUGCUUAUGGCAGGGCCAGUUCUACCUUUCUUAGUAUGUUCUGGCGUGGGUAUGUAGCCCCAUUUUCUAGUGGUUACCUUGACAUCAUGAAGAGUUUAUGUCUCUUUUGCCCUAGGUUUGGGCAAUAGUCAUUCACUGUGCAACAGGAAAUACACGAGUCAGCAUCUUAUUAAAAAUAAAGUCACUCAGGAAAGUGGACGACUAAUAGUUUCUAAUCUAGAGAGCAUAGGAGAAGAAAUGUUUACCACACACAAAGUAUUAGUGCCUUUUAUAUCACGAAGACAAAAAUAACAGGAAAAAGACAAACACAUUAUAGUGAAAACUUGUUUUUCCUAACCAGCAUCUAUUCUGCAUGUUUCCUGAUGCCAGAAACUCACAUUUCCUCAGGAAAAUCUCCCUUCUGCACCAUUCUCAGGCUUUAAGUUUAUGUAAAAUUCAGUAAACCCAAAGAUUCAAGUUAUGUGCCUUGAUUAACUUAAGCAAAUCAAUGAAACCCAUCCCCAUAACCACAGCGACUGGUUAGGAAAUUCGGCUCCUAAGUCAGUCAAAUCCGAAAGGGCCUAGUGAUGUUUUUUCCAGUGGGAUCACAGACUCACUCUUCCUUGCAGAAAAUGAACAAAGGAUUCAUGUAACACUGGCAGGUACUGGCAGCCACCCAGGGCCUCUCACAGGAAAGGGAGAUCAGAAAGAGAAGCAAAGAGGACUCAUGAGAUACCAUAGGGCUGCUGCGUCCAGCCUUGCUUGGAGCUAGGGCCACCUCGAUGCCCUAUAGUCUUGGAGCCACAAGGUGCAUUUACUCAAAGCCUCUUUGAGUUUGGUUUGCUUGUUUGCUUUCUGCCUGGAAACUGCCAGCAUCCUGAGAGAUAUGAGAUCUGUAUCUGUGCAGAGACACAGGGUUUGUUAAAAGUCACAGGCCCUGACUGAAGUGUGGAACUGGCUGAAAUGAGAAAGUAAGAGGUAAUUUGGGGAGGACCUUGUGAAAUGGAAGGAGUUUUAAACCUUACAUGCAUCAGAAUUACCUGGAGCCUUGUGAAAACACAGGUUGCUGGGCCCUAGUCCAUUAAGAAAGGAAGUGGGGCUUAGAAUGUUCAUUUCUCCCAAGUUCCCAGGUGAUAUUCACCAUGCUGUCCUGUCUGGACACUACCUUUUGCCAUACCCAUUACAAGGUAUUGCACGUGCUGGUUGAACUAUGGUCUGUCUUAUUUUGGUGCUAAAAGCCUGUGCCAAAUACCAACGCUGCAGCAUUAAGGAAUAUGAUAGAAAAGAUUCUGAAUAUAGGCCAGGCGCAGUGGCUCACGCCUGUAAUCCCAGCACUUUGGGAGGCCGAGGCAGGCAGAUCACAAGGUCAGGAGAUCAAGACCAUCCUGGCUAACGUGGUGAAACCCCGUCUCUACUAAAAAUACAAAAAAUUAGCCGGGCGUAGUGGUGGGCACCUGUAGUCCCAGCUACUUGGGAGGCUGAGGCAGGAGAAUGGCGUGAACCUGGGAGGCGGAACUUGCACUGAGCUGAGAUCGCGCUACUGCACUCCACUCCAGCCUGGGUGACAGAGCAAGACUUCAUCUCAAAAAAAAAAAAAAAAGAAGAUUCUGAAUAUUGGAACUUAGUAGCUAUGUAUUACAUCAGUAAGGUCCUUUAAGAGUUUAGGCUGCUUUGAAAUGGGCUCAUCUGAAAUUGAAAAAGGAAGAAAUUGAACUUGCUAAAAAAGGCCCUUCCAACUUAUUGACUGAGAACCCAGUAAUCUGGAGACUUGAAGGGCUGUAAUGGCAGAAUCUUCUACUCUAAGAUAAAGUUAGCAUGAGCAGAGACAGGAAGAUGAGAGACCUAAUGAGGCCAAGGGUCAAAUAUUCAUCACCUCCACAUGGGCCAAGAUGCAGGCAGAGGUCUCUCACCAGGGACUUGGUGGUAGAGGUGACACUGGUAGUGAGGUCUGUGCUAGAAAGUGCACAUCCCUGGCUGGGCGCGGUGGCUCACACCUGUAAUCCCAGCACUUUGGGAGGCUGAGGCAGGUGGAUCACGAGGUCAUGAGUUCAAGACCAGCCUGGCCAACAUAGUGAAACCCUGUCUCUACUAAAAAUCCAAAAAUUUAGCCAGAUUUGGUGGCAGGCACCUGUAAUCUCAGCUACUUGGGAAGCUGAGGCAGGAGAAUCUCUUGAACCCAGGAGGCUGAGGUUGCAGUGAGCCAAGAUCACACCAUUGCACUCCAGCCCAGGAGACAGUACAAGACUCCAUCUCAAAAAAAAAAAAAGAAAAAAGAAAGUGCGUAUCACCAACCCCAUUUAAAAUGCAAAUUCGAGCUUUGUAACUGAAAACAUCUCUGCUUCUGGCUACCUGGCCCAUGGAAUUGAUCAGAAGCAAAUAGUAGCCUAUGGACAUUAGAAGGGAGUCACAUUGCCAAAGAAACCACAAGACUGGUUCCAAACAGUCGUUGAUUACACAAUACCUAAGGCAACCUCAGGCUAACUCACACAGACAGAAAGUCAGCAGCCUCCAGAAAGCAGAUCCUCCACAUUGCACAUCUCAGAUUGUCCGUGGAGGACAUUCCCCCAGGGAGGAGAGCUAGGGACUGCCAGAUCAGCUGAACUGCUUAAAAAUGCAAUUCUCAUUCUCCAGUUCCCUAACAGGAGUCUGUGUUUAACUUACUCUGUUUGUUCAUAACACUUGUAUUUAGGGAAUAUUGGGCAUGAUUAAACUUUGUUUAGCUUUGGGUUUCUGGACCUUGUGAAACAAUUCAGUGCAGGCAAAUAUUGUAUGCCCCUAUAUUUUUUUCCUGAAAGUCAAUAAAGAAGGAAUGAUGACACCUUCACUGCAUCUAUGGGGACAAAAGCUGCUCCUGUGUGUGUGUGUGUGUGUGUGUGUGUGUGUGUGUGUGUGUGUGAAAGAGAGAGAGACAGAGAGAGAACAGCCUUGUCAAAAGGAUGUGUUUGUUGCUGUACCCUCAUUAUACGAAAGCCAUCAUGGCAUCAAAAUGCUGUAAGCCAGGUUGAGCUCUAUCCUCUCUGCAUCAACUCAGAAUCCCUACCAGAAAGUGGUUGUGAUGGAUGGAAUAUCACCCAUCAAAGAACAGGGUAAGAUGAGACCAGAGAGGUAAGCUAUGCAAGCUAAUCAGAAAAUAACUCAAAGUUUUAAAAGUGCAGAAUAUAAAAAGGAAAAACCCUCAUUCCUAAAAAAAUUUUUUAAAAAGCCUCAUUUCCUCAAAGAAAUGACAGUUAGCUAUUUGAUGUGUGUCUUUCCAAAUAUUUGCCUAUGUAAAUAUAUGUGUGUAUAUGGCUUUUAAAAAUAAAAACAAAAUAAUAUCCUUUACAGACAGUUUUGUAGCAUAUGUAGAGAAUAUAUAUGCAUAUACUGAAUGUAAAUAGAUAUGCAUUUUACCUAGAAUAUUACGGACACUUUCCACAGUUAUAGAUGUGUGCUGCUUUUGUUUACUGACUGCAGAAUAUUCCAUUGAUGGACAUCUUAAUCCUCUACUGAUUAAUCCCCUACUGAUGACUGUUUGCAUUUCUUUGCUCUUUACCAACCAUACUUGAAAGAAUAUCCUCAUGUCUACAUAUUCUUAUCUUUUGGCAGUGUUUCUAUGAAGCAGAUUCCUAGAAAUGGGAUCAGGUCAAAUGGGAUGUAGGUCACAUAGUAUGUGCAUUUUAAUAUUUGCUAAGUAGUAGUGUUUAAUUAUGCUUUAAAGAGUUUGAGCCCUACAAUUCUAAACACGUUUGGACACAUAAAUUAGAUUAUUUUAAACAAAAUGAAAUAAGCAUAGCUCAUAAAAAUUAACACGUUUGGUUUUCACACAAAUAUUUUGAAUUUCCCUUUCUUCUGCAAAAAGGACCCUAGCUUAAUAUGCAUUUCUUGUACAUAUAAUGCAAGCAAUCCAUCUAUUAAAUAACUUACCUUUCAAACCUAUAGACAGCAUCCUGCUCCACACAGAAGCUGGUUGUCUUUUCAUUCUCUAACAUUAGCUAUUUAUUUUGUAGAGUGUAGAUUCUAGAGAAAUAAUGUAUAAUACACCUGUUGCCAUAUGCAGAUACUUACCACAUUUAGAAAAUAGUGGUGAAUUCUAUUGACAGUGGCUCUCAGUCAUUAACAUGCUAUGGAACACCUCAUGAGCUUGAUAAAAAUAUCAGUUCCCAGGUCUACACCUAAAGAUCCUGAUGUAAUUGGCUUAAAUAAUCACUGCUGAAACACUCUAUGUCAACUCAGAAUCCUGACCAGAAAGUGGUUGCAAUGGAUAAAAUAUCAUUCACUAAAGAAUAGGGUAAGAUUUGAGUAUAGGUGGGUCAUACUUUGGGAAAUAACUUGAUCAAUGGUUAACAGCAUAGUCUGUCGUUCAAUAAAAGUCCAGUUUUGGAACACAAUUGACCGUUUACAUGCUGUGUAACCUCAGCCAAGUUGUCUAACCUUUCUGAGCCCUGGGUUACUUUUCUGUCAAGUGGAGGUAUUAAUAGUACCUAACCUGUACUAUUGCAUUGGUAAGAUUAAAUGAACAAUGUGUAAAAAGCACUCAGUAGGAGUAAGCCUCAACAAUGUAAGUAAUUGCUAUUAAGAGCUUGAUUCAUCAUGAAUAUGCCCUACAGAAUACUCUGCUUAAUGGUGUCCAUUCGAGUAGUUAAUUCCCCUAGAGCGUGCAUAUUACGAUUUGAGUUAUAACAUAUUCGUAGUUUCAAUGUUCCAGAACUUUGUAAAGUGGAUAACUCUGUGGUAGCGCUCCCCAUCUCUCCCAAUUUCCCUCCAUUUCACCUCUUCCUAAUCUUUGCCUAUCAUUCCUCUUAACCAGUGAUUUUGAUUUGCCAGAAAAACAAAACCAAACUCAAUACUGGUUUACCUUUUAAAAGAGCAUCUUUAUUAUUUCCCCAGGCCGAUCACAGCCCUGAACAAAAGCAUCCGAUACACAUUUGUCAGUCUGGUGGCUUUGGUGCCAUGACUGCCUACACAGGCCGAUGACAGCCACUCGGUUGUCACCAGACACACUGGAGGGAAGGCAGAGGGGACAGGGGGAACUCUCAGAGCAAACAAUCACAAACACACUGUGAAAUCAAAAAUAAAUUAUAAAAACUAAAUAGUAUAAAUAAAUUAAAAUUUAAGUUAAGAAGAGUCCCACAGUGUGGCUGUUUGGUAACAACCAGUCCAUAGAAGAGGUAGCUGUGGAGGUCACAGGGAUGUUCCCAAGGCUCAGGCUCCUGCUCCUCCCCACUGGGCCCACCGAGGUCGCUGGGCCUUGAAGCUUCUGGACCCCUCAGGCACUUAGCUCCAGGUCACUGACGUAUUUCUGGACCCACUCCUCACUGGGGUCAGCACAGACCUGCCGGCCUCUCUUGGUUAGGAAGCUGUGGAGAAGGGAGGAAGAGUUAAGCACUGGGGAAUCCAGCAGGGGAAUCCUGGGCCCACCAUGGCCCCGACAUCCUGCUCUCUGUCCUGGGCAGCUCAAGGCCUGCUCCUCGUUGAGGGGCCCCCUGCCUAUCUCCGUCUAGAGAGCUGCUCUCAGUGACUCCAGGCAAGGGGGCCCUCAGAGUGUCCUGCUGCCUCCUUCUUCCUGUUCCUUUCCUCUGGCCUGGGCAGCCCUUCCUGACUCUCUAACACCCACCUCACUCCAGCCCCAAGUCAGGUCACACCUCAGUGCCCUGCGUCCUGUAUCCCCGAUAGGCUCCUGAAGGCUGGGCCUUUCCAGGAUGGCCUUCUGGCCUGUUUCUGCCCCCACCCUGACACUCCCUACCUCCCUAGAGGUGAGCAGGAAGACUGGCACUUACAUGACACCGGGCUUGGAGCACUGGCUGCUGGUCUCAAAGUAGUCCGCUAUGAAAUUCUGUGGAAUCUGUCGGGAGAUAUAGCUGAAGCAGCAGGCGGUCGGCGUGUCAGCAGCAACUGCAGAGAAAGGAGAGAAUAAGCACGAGUCACAGCUCAGAAGAAAAGGCCAGGCAGCUUCUGAUCCCUGAGUGGUUGAGGAGGGCAGGCUUGCUCAGACCAGGUGACUGGAAGGCAUUUGGGGGGUUUUGCAGAGAAAUGUCUCUUUGUUUCUGUCUAUAUUCUUCUUUCCCCUUGACUCUUCAUAGUGGGUUCUCUGUUUCUCUAUGUGAUCAAGAUACCUGAAUGGACUGUUUUCUUAGCUCUCUUCAGGGAAUUUUGUCGGUUCAAGAAGUCAUACCCCAGCCCAAGAGAAGCCCUGGACAUCUCUCAUAAGACAUCCAAGGGACAGGGCUCCUGGGAGACCUAGGGUGAGCUGGAGAGUGAACAACAGACCCCACUGGGAAGUAAGCAGCCCUGGAUUCUGCCUCUUGCAAACUGAUUCGUUUUGAACCCUGUUUUUCUAUCUGUACAAGGGACUGUAACUCCCCUGCCCCUGCCUAGAUUCUCAUACCUGGAGACUAGGAGGGCUAAGACCCCUUCUAGAGAUAAAAAUAAAAGUCGUGAAGAAAAAGACCAA
This is an RNA transcript of Pan troglodytes (chimpanzee), 16219 nucleotides long. It is a transcript of the gene named puromycin-sensitive aminopeptidase-like protein, with no coding region annotated. The transcript is spliced from 14 exons. The record is from RefSeq and is a predicted model, not a curated record. NCBI's taxonomy places the organism in Eukaryota, Metazoa, Chordata, Mammalia, Primates, Hominidae.